CGCCCUCUGUACGGAGGAAGGGCCAGCGGGGGACGCGAAGACCGGGGCAGCCACAAGCGCACCAGGAGACCUGCACGGGCCAAUGAGGGGGUCACAGCAGUGGCUGGGAAUAUCAGAUGAAAGAGUCUUUGAGGGGGAAUGACUUCCCUUUGAGGGCGGAGGAGCUGUUCAAAAAUCACAUGAAGGUUGCCUGAGGACCGACGCAGAGCCAACGUCACCGCAGUCUUGAGAAAGAGCAAGAAGGAUGGCCUGCGCAACUUUGCUUAGAGAUAUUUGUAAGGAGCAGCCACGGUGGAUUCAGCAAGGGGAAGCGAUGUCAGACUGAGCUGGGUGAGUGCCACAGCAGAGCAUUCAGCAGUGAGGAUCAGCCUGGAGUUGCGAGCCCUCUGACUGGUCUGCCCUGCCUCAAGCGUUUUGCAGAGUUGUUGCUGCAGGUUCAGAGCGGGCAUUCUCUUGGUGGGACUCUGGAGUGAGGAUUUGGAUAAGUGGCUGGAGGUAAAAUGCACCCGUGGUGUAUGUGUCUUGUCUGCUAUGGAUUUAUGGUAUGGUUUACAGUAUCAACAAGCUAAAUAGGCUGAGAUGACUAGGAAGGAGUUAAACCUUAAUCACACAGAAAUAGCUUAAUACAUUUACAUAAAGUGUUAUCAGAUACCUCUCACAAAAGAAGCUUUCACAACCAUUUCCAUUUUUAGUUUUCCUAGUAUACUUUUUCCCCCCCAAAAUAAGAUGGCAACUGAGUUGGAGAACAGAGCAGCAGCUUUCCUUCUUCCUAGCUGUGCCUCCUGUAAAGUGUGCUGCAUUAAAUUGCCAGACAGACAACUUAAUAUCUAAAAUUAAAUAGUGAAAAGCUAGGUUUCCCUUACUUAGAUGUUGGUUGCUUGGCCUUCUUGCUUAAGUAAAGCUGUGGAGAAGAUCUUUUAGAUAUAGUCCUGUUCUUAUUUCAGCAGGUGUCCUCAAAAAAUUGGUAAUGAGGCUUGCUUCUGUGGGGUGGGAAGCAGGUGAUGAUGUGUGCCUUUUUGCAGAAGAAUUAAUGGCUUAUGAUGGCCUUUAAGGAAGGCUGCGUCUGCUGCGGGUGCAAAUGCUCUGCGUUGCGUGUGGGAACUGGCGUGCCUAUGAAUAUCUGCGCUAAAAUGGAAUGGCUAAGCUUAGAAAAUUCUGGAGAUAAGCAUUUCUUGAGCUCACAGGUAUGGGUGCUGUCCCAAGAGCGGUGUGGAGAUGACUGUCCUGCCAAAAAAACUUCUGCUUUCCAUUUGUAGGGUAAGUUCACUGAGAACUCUCUCUUUACUUGCUCCGUAACCUGAGCUAGUGCUUCCAUUAGAAACCCUUUGUAUUGAGUCUUGGUAAGUUAGUUUCUGUAAACAUUCAUCCCAUGCUGAGGCUGAAUUCUUCUACUGCUAGCUAUACUAAUACAUCCUGAUCUACAUUGAGCUUUGCAAUAAAAGCGGUGGAACUGCGGUUGGGCUUUUGCGUUAGACAUCUGUGUGUGGUAUGCUGCAAUGUAUUGCAGCCUAGUUUAUGUAAGAGUCUGCAAUUACUAAUGGCUUCAUUUUCAAUCUGUUAAUGACCCGGUUCUGCUGCUG
Phasianus colchicus (ring-necked pheasant) is the source of this 1580-nucleotide non-coding RNA. The record is from RefSeq and is a predicted model, not a curated record. NCBI's taxonomy places the organism in Eukaryota, Metazoa, Chordata, Aves, Galliformes, Phasianidae.